GUGCAGCAGGCGCGAAUCCUUCGCAAUGCAGGAAACUGCGACGAGGGAACUCCAAGUGCCUACGCUCAGCGUAGGCUGUUCUCAAGCCUAGAAAGCUUGAGGAGUAAGGGCUGGGUAAGACGGGUGCCAUCCUGUGGUAGCAGUCAAUAGAUUCGAUUUGUUACUGCAAAGGCAUAAGCCGCCGCGGUAAUACCCGCAGCCC
This 202-nucleotide ribosomal RNA is filed under the name uncultured microorganism. Its description in RNAcentral is "partial 16S ribosomal RNA". It matches the Rfam family "Archaeal small subunit ribosomal RNA", at positions 330 to 485 of the family's 1478-position model. The record is from RNAcentral.